AGAGUUUGAUCCUGGCUCAGAACGAACGCUGGCGGCAUGCCUAACACAUGCAAGUCGAACGAGACCUUCGGGUCUAGUGGCGCACGGGUGCGUAACGCGUGGGAAUCUGCCCUUCGGUUCGGAACAACAGUUAGAAAUGACUGCUAAUACCGGAUAAUGACGUAAGUCCAAAGAUUUAUCGCCGAAGGAUGAGCCCGCGUAAGAUUAGGUAGUUGGUGGGGUAAUGGCCUACCAAGCCGACGAUCUUUAGCUGGUCUGAGAGGAUGAUCAGCCACACUGGGACUGAGACACGGCCCAGACUCCUACGGGAGGCAGCAGUGGGGAAUAUUGGACAAUGGGCGAAAGCCUGAUCCAGCAAUGCCGCGUGAGUGAUGAAGGCCUUAGGGUUGUAAAGCUCUUUACCAGGGAUGAUAAUGACAGUACCUGGAGAAUAAGCUCCGGCUAACUCCGUG
RNAcentral lists this ribosomal RNA (452 nucleotides) under uncultured bacterium. RNAcentral describes it as "bacterial SSU rRNA". It matches the Rfam family "Bacterial small subunit ribosomal RNA", at positions 8 to 507 of the family's 1533-position model. The record is from RNAcentral.